AACGAACGCUGGUGGCGUGCUUAACACAUGCAAGUCGAACGAGAAAGUUUCUUUCGGGAAAUUAGUAAAGUGGCGCAAGGGUGAGUAUCACGUGAAUAAUCUGCCCUCGAGAUCGGAAUAACAUGGUGAAAGCUAUGCUAAUGCCGGAUAAGGCCACAUUUUCAUAAGAAAUGCGGUAAAAAGGAGUCUCAAUCUUCACUCGAGAUGAGUUCGCGCAACAUUAGCUUGUUGGUGAGAUAAAAGCUCACCAAGGCUACGAUGUUUAGCCGGCCUGAGAGGGUGAACGGCCACACUGGAACUGAGACACGGUCCAGACUCCUACGGGAGGCAGCAGUGGGGAAUAUUGCGCAAUGGGCGAAAGCCUGACGCAGCAACGCCGUGUGAGCGAUG
This 390-nucleotide ribosomal RNA is filed under the name uncultured Nitrospina sp. Its description in RNAcentral is "bacterial SSU rRNA". It matches the Rfam family "Bacterial small subunit ribosomal RNA", at positions 29 to 410 of the family's 1533-position model. The record is from RNAcentral. Lineage: Bacteria; Pseudomonadati; Nitrospinota; Nitrospinia; Nitrospinales; Nitrospinaceae.